GCCAGACGCCAUCAUUGUGAGGUGGAAAGAAGAAAUGCUAACACGGUUCGCACUUUGUUGUCUACUAGUUUUUCUUCCACAUAGGGGAGAUGGCACAGAUAUUCGUUGUUCAUACGGAGAAACAGUACUGUGCGGAAGCGACGGUUCCACAUACUACGACCUGUGCGCCUUCCACACCAUGGAAGCGGUAAACCCUUACCUGGUCGUGGCCCACCAGGGCCCGUGCGACCACCAUCAUGUUUUCAACCAACGACUUCGAGGGCAGAUACCGAAAAUUCUAAGAUUAGGAAAAUUAUCGAAGAUGUUUUUAGCGCACAUCAUAAACUCGCAAAGACACCUAGGCGGAUUUAACUUCGAAAAUAAUGCGAUAUACACACAAGGGAACCAUAACCGUUUUGGAAUACACCUGGGUUAGAAUAACUCAAUAAAAAACAAUUUCUUAAAUGAUUUGUUUUAUUAAAAAAAACACUUCGAUCCUUUCCAUAUUCUCUUAAAUUUCAUAUAUUCAUCGUUGACAAAAUUCGACGUUUCUUUUUGUUUAUAAAUAAAUACUAGUAAAGCUAUAGAAAAGUUACUUGCUUACUGUAUACAUAAUAUAUUUGUAAUAACGAAAAAAUAUUUAUUACUUAAUAACCGUUCUAAUAUUUUAAAAAUAUAGUGAUUUCCUCCGGAUAAUUUCAUCAUACAUCGAUCGACUCAUUCUAUCAAUUAACUCCAUUAGUUUUGUACGUUACGCUCGAUUACGCAAUUAU
Pieris rapae (cabbage white) is the source of this 752-nucleotide long non-coding RNA. RefSeq lists it as uncharacterized. The record is from RefSeq and is a predicted model, not a curated record. The transcript has 4 exons. NCBI's taxonomy places the organism in Eukaryota, Metazoa, Arthropoda, Insecta, Lepidoptera, Pieridae.